Molecule: transfer RNA, 96 nt
Filed under: Planomonospora antibiotica
Lineage: Bacteria; Bacillati; Actinomycetota; Actinomycetes; Streptosporangiales; Streptosporangiaceae
Description: Planomonospora parontospora subsp. antibiotica tRNA-Pro
Source: RNAcentral
CCCGAGGUGGACGGCGGCAGGAUCGGCGCGGUCGGGAUCUGCCUCGGCGCGGGCUACGCGCUGAAGUUCGCCGCGUUCGACCCCCGGGUGCGGGUC